GCGAUUUUUUUUCUUUUAACAUAGAAGUAACGAAUGUUUUCAUCAGUCAGACUAGGAUCUGCAGUAUGUAACAUAGCACAUGUUAGCCCUCUGAGUGCAUAGAAUUUGCUUGAGAAUCCUUGCUGGGGAAUUUUUCAGACCCUUGAGUGUAUUCACACAUAUUUCUUGAUUUUACUGCAGACCAAGGGGCGUCAUUGAGACCCAAAAUGUCCACCCAAGAAGAGUAUUGGGGAAUGACACAUUGCCAAUUCUUCUCAGUGGGCUUAGACAAUGACGGGUUCUACAGCAUCAGCAGAUGCACCCCUCCUUCUUAGCCAUCUUAUGAAGAAGGGAAGUCCCUUUCCCUACAUAGUAAGCUGCAGAGCCUUCUCUGCUCUGAUUGGAGGGAGUUAAGGUUUGUGGCUGCCUAUCCCAAGUGAUCGACAGUGUCUCUCCCUGUCUCCAUUCACUGCUGUGCUGAAGGCGCCCCUGAAAUGCUGCUUCCCCAUUAGCUGCUGCUAGUGCCAGGCAGACCCUCGGGGAACCACCUAGCCUUGGCUUGUGCUCGGUGAGUUGGGAUCUGUCUGCUCAGGGUCAGAAGAGCUCUAGAAACAACUGGUGAGAAGAGCAAUAAAUUAUCAGGUGCUCUACGGGGCCGGGAAUCAACCGGCAAGGAAAAGCAAGGCUCUGUGUUGUUGUUGUUGUCAUUUUCUUUUCUCAGCUGCUUUUACACAGGACCAUAGCCACCAGUGCGAAACCAACACAGAAUGGAAAAGACCCGACCCGGGGCAUGUGAGAGCAAGAGGCAAGUGCUUUGCAAAGAGGCUGAAAGGAAAAUACAGAGAAAACACAAUCCAAAAGGUUCUAAAAUGGGAUUCCUAGAACCAAACAGAUUCCAUGAGUAACUCUAGGUACCAGGAAGUCAGUUCCAGCAAGUCUCCCAGAAGAUACCUCAGAGGCUGAAGCCACCACUCCCACUCAUGAUUUUCUUUACUUUAUUUAGCAUGGUCUCUAGUCCUCCAGGAGGGAUGUGUUGCUUUUCUGGUUUGGGGCCAAGCCUGGCUGGGAUUGGGUUUUCACUCCUGUUAGGCAAUCUGUCUCGGAGGCCUGGGUUUCCUUGGGAGCCCAUUGUUUCAGAAUGUAGGCUUGUGCUUCCUUUUCCUUACUUCCCUGCUCCACUGGGAUGCAGGAGUGUGUGGGAGGGUGUGGGAGGCAAGGCCCAACCCAAGCGUUGCCCUAAUGUUUUCUCAGCUUUGACUCAAGAGAGAACAAUUUUAAACUCCAGGGUGGCUACAAGUUCCUUAUUUGCUCAUUACUGCUUUGAAUGUAUUUCAAUGUCCUGAAAGUCAUGAACAACCUUCCCAUAGUCAGGUCGAGAUAUUUCCGAACUCCACACUGAUCUGCAGCUGCUGUGUUUAUACAUAGUCAUUAAACUAUGUUCCUCACACAUGUAGAUUUUUAAAUAACAGAAUCCCAUAUUUCCUGCUCAUUUAAAUAUAACAUUUAUUUAGUUUUUUUUCCUUUUUUGGGAGUCCAGAAAUGAUACACAUAAAUUCACAAAAUGCUAUAAAUCCAUAUAUUAUUUGAAUUGGGUGCUGGGACUAGAGACAGGGCACAGACCACCAGGAAGGGUGUCGAUUUGUAGAUAGAGUCCAUAUAGGUAAAGGACAAGAACUGCUCUAAAAUUGCUACUUUCUCUGGAACGGAAAAGCAAAGCGCUAUUCUAAGAUCAGCGAGCAAUGGCAUGGCUGAGCCUUGGCUCCACGUGUGUGACUAUAAAACACCCUACGGCCAAUAGCAGAUUGCCACUUUCCUUGUUCUGAAUUACUGCUUUCCCCGGUCAUUAACGUAGCCACAGCGUCCAGGGGUUACAGGACCAAAGUGCAAGGCUCUGGAAUUUUUCCAUCAACAUUCUCUCAUCACGAAGAAGGGCAGCUCAGAAGAAUUCAGAGCCCAUUCAGAAGGACGAUCGCAGCACAUCCCUAUAGAAUUUCAGUGAUCAACGCUGAAUAAGUAGCGGAAUGUAACCUGUCAAGUAGAAAUAUUGAGCAAUCAGACGGAAUGCAGUAAUUCAAGAGUCUUGCCAGCGUGGAGCCACCAAGAUCUUAGACGUCAGAGUUGUAACUCAGAGGGCGAAGGGACAGCACACACUGAAGACUGGGUGCAUCCAGAUUGCUUUGCUUUCAGUCAACACGGAUAUCCUCCCCCUCAACAUUCCCAGAAUAGCUCCAGUUUGAAAUAAUUAAGUGGUGGUGUUCUUUGAAUUUCUAUAACCAAUCAAUCUUAUUUUUUAUUUUGUGUAUCAUAGAACAACUAUGUGCCACUAUGGCUGUGUGUCGCCGUAAUUCUCCACUGAACUAUCAUGACUGUUUGCCUAUCUUUGAGUAUUGAAUAUAACUCUUAUGGUGGUAGUCUGGUGAUGGGACUUGCCCUUCCUUACCAACAAGACCAGUCUUGUGGUAUUGGAAAGGUUCUUUCGGUUUGAGAGUAGAGUAGUUGAACACUCCUUCAUUACUUGCUUCCUGUAAAUCAAUUCUGUAGAUGAGAACCAUUAUACUAAUGAGUACAUUUCCCCCUCAACAUUGUAGAAGGAACCACUUUAUUUGUCAUGAUCAAUAAAUAUGUGAAUUGUUCCAAACUGUUAGAAGAAAACGUUAAGGUCUUCAGUCCCUGGGAAUGCUCUGACUGUAGCCCCCCGCUAACCCACACGUGGUGGUGGUGUGUAUUAAUAUGAGUCCAGGGGAAAUAUGAAUAAACGACGGAAAACACUUGAUGCUCUGCGUUCCUGAGGCUUCCCUGCAGUCUGCUUAGCCCUUUUAUGAGUGGUGGUUAACAGGCCUGUCACAUAGUGUUGAGAGAGCGCAGUAUAUCUGUGAAAGAAGGCCAAAAUUGCAAUCUUUUCCCCUUCCAGGCAUAUUUAAGUUGGGAAAAAAAAACAGGAAAGAAAAAUUGUCUCAGAGGGCCACGGAGCUACCGAAUCGCCAGGACUCAAGCACGUUAAAUCAUGGUUGUUUGCCGACCACAGGCAUCGCCUAGACAACUCUAUCCCCUGUGCUGAAGUGCAGUUGUGCUGAGGGGAAACUGUCUCCACAUUAUUGUGCUGCCUCUAGCCCUUCUCUGGGUGUCAGCAUUUCCAUGAUAAACUCCUAUUCUGGAAGGUUUUUAAUUUGACCAUAAAAAUGUGCCUCAGGCUGAGGUUUGCCAUUCGAGGCCUGUUCAGAAGAGGGAAGGGGCACAUCUCACCCUUCUCAACUUCUCCUCCGCUCCCGAGAAAGGGUCCACCCCGAGAUGUCUGAUUGCAUAGCCUUCAUUGUGAUUCCAGAGUCUUGGAAUGCGCCAAGAUCCAAGAUGGUAAUUUUAACAAAACUAUCCAUUCGGAUAUGUUCUCUCCAAAUGGCUCAACUAACAUAUAUUAUAAGAUAUUUUUUAUUAUUUUUAACUUUUUAAUUACUAUGAUUCUCCCUCUCUCUCCCUCUCUGUCUCUCCUUGUCCCUCUCUCUGUCUCUCUCUUUGUCCCUCUCUCUGUCUCUCUCUUUGUCCCUCUCUCUGUCUCUCUCUUUGUCCCUCUCUUUGUCCCUCUCUGUGUCUUUCUUUGCCCACCCCACGCCUCUUCUCCCUCUGUCCAAAUAUUUUUACGAACUUGAACUUGAUCAGCCCAAAGGUCCACUUUUCCCAUGAGAUGCCUGCUACUUCCAUUGGGAAUUUGCAACAAUAACUCUCUGCCCCAGGGGAGCACUGGUUUGCAUGCUGUGUGGAGGAUCAGAUACAUGCUUCUUUAGAAAUCUGGGUUUCCGGAGUUUAAUCAUCAGAUUUCAUGAAGGCACUCUAGUCUAUUGGGAGAAUAGCGGUCCAAGGAGCCCCCACAAUUAACACUUUUUUCAACUCAGAUUCGAAGCCAACGUAAAGUAAUACACUUCCUACUCUCCCGCUUAAAGGCAGAUAAAUCAGAGAAACUUGAGGACAUUUGAAACAUUUGAUGACCGCAAAAGCUCUUUGCACUUGGGCUCUCUGGUGCUUACACGGGGAGCAGUUAGGAACUGGGACCCUGGGAUGUCAGAUGGAAUCUUUAGUUUGUAAUUACAUACAGAUGGGGGAGGUGCUUUAAGCCGCUCUUUUGUUUUUUAAUCAUCUCAAAUAUGCAGCCAGCCAGCCAGUAGCACUAAGGGUCAUAAACUGAUGGGAAUCAGGAAAUCCAAGGUAGAGGUUUAGAAUGCCUCACUCAGCUCGGGCAUUUUUGUUCGUUUCUGUGGCUGGCUCUAACAUGGAGACCUCUGUGGUCAUUUUUCGGUAAAGUGAGCAUCUAACUGGCAGGUGUUGUGAUCUUGCAGUUUGCCCGUGGAGACAAACAAGGGGUGUGGAUUUAUUGCUUUCCGUCAAGAAAAGGCAGUCUCUCAGCCGCACCUGGAAACCUCCUCCACCCUUUUUUAUUUAUUUAUUUUUUGGUCAACUAAACUGAGACCCUUAAUGUUACUUUAAUGUAAAAUUGUAUAUUUUUGACUGUGUCAUACUUUACUAAUUUUAAGUAAUUAGUGCUUAAGCCUUCAGAACUAUUGGUAUUAAGAGUAGGAUGUUAAAGUGGUACUAAACAACUUAAUGCUAAUUCAUUCCAUCGUGCUCGGCUGUAGUCAGGGACAGACUGGGAAUAGUUCUCACUUGCCCCUGACAUUAAAUCCUUGGUGUGUUCGAAGAAUAAAUAAAGAGAAACUGAAGCUGGUUCAAGGUUAGCGUCAUAUCCUUGACAACUUUUUUUUUUAAUUUUUUUAUUAGGAAAUUAAUAUUAGCCUUUUUCAUUCUGGCUGAAAGAAAAUUAUUAAAAGAUUAGUUGAGUGUGAAAUUGAAUAGUCCUUUACCCCUGCAUACUAAAGAGGUGGGCUGGGGACUGGACACAUUUAACAAGUUCCCCUCAAGGUUUUGAUUUGGAGAAAACAAUUCAACGUUUCCUUUGGAGAGUCGCCCUUGUCACUUGCUGCAUGGAUUGGAUGACGUAGGUUAGUGUCUGAUUUUGGAAUCCCAAUGAGAUAACUUUCAAACAAUUUAUCCCCAUAAUUAAAGGUGGAAUGGUAUCCAAUUUCCCCCCAAUCCUUCAGUUUAAGCUCAUAAAUUGUAGGUGAAUGUGGAAUGAAAUCAUCUGUGAUAUAUUAUGUUCAUUUACCAAAUGAGCUCUUUUUGAUGUUGCCUGUUUUUAUGUAAAACAUGUUCUUAAACUAAUAAAGUAAUAUCUCUUGGUGUACAAACU
This 5215-nucleotide long non-coding RNA is filed under the name Rattus norvegicus (Norway rat). Its description in RNAcentral is "long non-coding RNA NONRATT015297". Lineage: Eukaryota; Metazoa; Chordata; Mammalia; Rodentia; Muridae. The record is from RNAcentral.